CCUACGGGUGGCAGCAGUGAGGAAUAUUGGUCAAUGGGCGCGAGCCUGAACCAGCCAAGUCGCGUGAGGGAUGACUGCCCUACGGGUUGUAAACUUCUUUUAUCAGGGAGUAAAGUGAGGCACGUGUGCCUUUUUGUAGGGACUUUGUGAAUAAGGCACGGCUAACUCCGGGACAGCCGGCGCGGUAAUACGGGGGGUCGUGGCGUUAUCCGGAUUUAUUGGGGUUAAAGGGGGCGUAGAUGGGUUGUUAAGUCAGUUGUGAAAGUUUGGGGAUCAAACGUAAAAUUGCAAUUGAUACUGGCAUUCUUGAGUAGAGUGGAGGUAGGCGGAAUGCGUGGUGUAGCGGUGAAAUGCUUAGAGAUCACGCAGAACCCCGAUUGCGAAGGCAGCUUACCAACCUCUGACUGACACUGAUGCUCGAAAGUGUGGGGAUCAAACAGGAUUAGAUACCCGGGUAGUC
RNAcentral lists this ribosomal RNA (460 nucleotides) under uncultured bacterium. RNAcentral describes it as "partial 16S ribosomal RNA". It matches the Rfam family "Bacterial small subunit ribosomal RNA", at positions 338 to 795 of the family's 1533-position model. The record is from RNAcentral.